This 692-nucleotide ribosomal RNA is filed under the name Salmonella enterica. RNAcentral's name for it is "partial 23S ribosomal RNA". It matches the Rfam family "Bacterial large subunit ribosomal RNA", at positions 2111 to 2802 of the family's 2925-position model. Lineage: Bacteria; Pseudomonadati; Pseudomonadota; Gammaproteobacteria; Enterobacterales; Enterobacteriaceae. The record is from RNAcentral.
UUGACACUGAACAUUGAGCCUUGAUGUGUAGGAUAGGUGGGAGGCUUUGAAGUGUGGACGCCAGUCUGCAUGGAGCCGACCUUGAAAUACCACCCUUUAAUGUUUGAUGUUCUAACGUGGACCCGUGAUCCGGGUUGCGGACAGUGUCUGGUGGGUAGUUUGACUGGGGCGGUCUCCUCCUAAAGAGUAACGGAGGAGCACGAAGGUUGGCUAAUCCUGGUCGGACAUCAGGAGGUUAGUGCAAUGGCAUAAGCCAGCUUGACUGCGAGCGUGACGGCGCGAGCAGGUGCGAAAGCAGGUCAUAGUGAUCCGGUGGUUCUGAAUGGAAGGGCCAUCGCUCAACGGAUAAAAGGUACUCCGGGGAUAACAGGCUGAUACCGCCCAAGAGUUCAUAUCGACGGCGGUGUUUGGCACCUCGAUGUCGGCUCAUCACAUCCUGGGGCUGAAGUAGGUCCCAAGGGUAUGGCUGUUCGCCAUUUAAAGUGGUACGCGAGCUGGGUUUAGAACGUCGUGAGACAGUUCGGUCCCUAUCUGCCGUGGGCGCUGGAGAACUGAGGGGGGCUGCUCCUAGUACGAGAGGACCGGAGUGGACGCAUCACUGGUGUUCGGGUUGUCAUGCCAAUGGCACUGCCCGGUAGCUAAAUGCGGAAGAGAUAAGUGCUGAAAGCAUCUAAGCACGAAACUUGCCCCGA